This 1221-nucleotide unclassified non-coding RNA is filed under the name uncultured apicomplexan. RNAcentral describes it as "sequence contains 5.8S rRNA gene, ITS2, 28S rRNA gene". The stretch from base 283 to 1221 matches the Rfam family "Eukaryotic large subunit ribosomal RNA", at positions 1 to 961 of the family's 3401-position model. The record is from RNAcentral. Lineage: Eukaryota; Apicomplexa.
AACUUUCAGUGAUGGAUGUCUCGGGUCUCGGUUCGAUGAAGAACGCAGCUAACUGCGAUACGCAGUGUGACUUGCAGAUUUCUAUGAACUAUCAGAUUUUUGAACGCAAAAGGUAUUCCCGGAUUCGCUCUGGGAGUAUACUCAUUUCAGUGCUUUGAAUUUAUGUUGCUUUCCCGGAAAGCAAACGUGUAUAGUUGCUGUUUUGACGGUGGCUGAAGUCAUGGGUAUUAGUUUUAGGUUGGAAUAUCCUUAAAACUAACACGCUCAAUUACUUUCAAACAAAAGCAUGAAAUUGAGUACGGUCACCCGUUGAACUUAAGCAUAUUAUUAAGCGGUGGAAAAGAAACUAACCAGGAUUCCCUUAGUAACUGCGAGUGAACAGGGAAGAGCUCAAACUGAAAAUUGUUAGUUUGCUAACAAAUUGUAGUUUCAUGAAGUGCUACUUGUAACUUUUGUGGACUAAGUCUCUUGGAAAAGAGUACAAUGAAGGGUGAAAGUCCUGUGUUUGUCCAGUAAUUGUUACGAUAAGUACGCUUUUCGAAGAGUCGCGUUCCUUGAGAUUGGAGCGCAAAGUGGGUGAUAAAUUUCAUCUAAAGCUAAAUACAGACGAAAUUCCGAUAGUAAACAAGUACCGUGAGGGAAAGAUGAAAAGGACUUUGAAAAGAGAGUUAAAAGGAACUGAAAUCACUGAAAAGGAAGUGAAGAGAUUUAACGAUCUAACAGAGUCAGAUUUCUGAUGCAAAUCUUCGUAUUUGUUUUCAAUUUUUGACAUCUGUGGUGACUUUGAAACUGACCUUUUCUCUUGGUUUAAUUUAGGACAAAUCCGUAGGAUUUGUCUUAUUUUAUCCAGGUAAUUUGGUCAAAAGGUACUGUAGAUGUACCUUCAUUGGUACAAUUAUUAAGUUUCAAAGAUGUUAAAUCUCUUCAUCCCGUCUUGAAACACGGACCAAGGAGUCUAACAUGUACGCGAGUACCAGAGUUAUAAGCUCACGUGCGAAAUGAAAGUGAUUGUCAGGAAACAUUAGUUGCACUGACACCCAGUUAUCAAACUGAGGUAGAGCAUGUGGUUUAGGACCCGAAAGAUGGUGAACUAUGCUUGAGUAAGGUGAAACUAGAGGAAACUCUGGUGGAAGCUUAUAGCGAUACUGACGUGCAAAUCGUUCGUCAAACUUGAGUAUAGGGGCGAAAGACUAAUCGAACCAUCUAGUAGCUGGUUCCCUC